CGGAGUGAACGCACCACUGGUGUUCGGGUUGUCAUGCCAAUGGCACUGCCCGGUAGCUAAGUGCGGAAAAGAUAAGUGCUGAAAGCAUCUAAGCACGAAACUUGCCCCGAGAUGAGUUCUCCCUGACUCCCAGAGGGUCCUGAAGGGACGUUGAAGACGACGACGUUGAUAGGCCGGGUGUGUAAGCGCAGCGAUGCGUUGAGCUAACCGGUACUAAUGACCCGUGAGGCUUAACCUUACAACGCCAGAGGCGUUU
This 256-nucleotide ribosomal RNA is filed under the name Candidatus Pantoea gossypiicola. RNAcentral's name for it is "Pantoea sp. B_8 partial 23S ribosomal RNA". It matches the Rfam family "Bacterial large subunit ribosomal RNA", at positions 2693 to 2925 of the family's 2925-position model. Lineage: Bacteria; Pseudomonadati; Pseudomonadota; Gammaproteobacteria; Enterobacterales; Erwiniaceae. The record is from RNAcentral.